CGGACGGGUGAGUAACACGUGGAUAACCUACCUAUAAGACUGGGAUAACUUCGGGAAACCGGAGCUAAUACCGGAUAAUAUAUUGAACCGCAUGGUUCAAUAGUGAAAGACGGUUUUGCUGUCACUUAUAGAUGGAUCCGCGCCGCAUUAGCUAGUUGGUAAGGUAACGGCUUACCAAGGCAACGAUGCGUAGCCGACCUGAGAGGGUGAUCGGCCACACUGGAACUGAGACACGGUCCAGACUCCUACGGGAGGCAGCAGAC
This 263-nucleotide ribosomal RNA is filed under the name uncultured Staphylococcus sp. Its description in RNAcentral is "partial 16S ribosomal RNA". It matches the Rfam family "Bacterial small subunit ribosomal RNA", at positions 99 to 354 of the family's 1533-position model. Lineage: Bacteria; Bacillati; Bacillota; Bacilli; Caryophanales; Staphylococcaceae. The record is from RNAcentral.